Molecule: ribosomal RNA, 373 nt
Filed under: uncultured organism
Description: partial 16S ribosomal RNA
Rfam family: Bacterial small subunit ribosomal RNA
Source: RNAcentral
GUAGGUGGCAAGCGUUGUCCGGAAUUAUUGGGCGUAAAGCGCGCGCAGGCGGUUUUUUAAGUCUGAUGUGAAAGCCCACGGCCCAACCGUGGAGGGUCAUUGGAAACUGGAGAACUUGAGUACAGAAGAGGAAAGCGGAAUUCCACGUGUAGCGGUGAAAUGCGUAGAGAUGUGGAGGAACACCAGUGGCGAAGGCGGCUUUCUGGUCUGUAACUGACGCUGAGGCGCGAAAGCGUGGGGAGCAAACAGGGAUUAGAUACCCUGGUAGUCCACGCCGUAAACGAUGAGUGCUAAGUGUUAGGGGGUUUCCCGCCCCUUAGUGCUGCAGCUAACGCAUUAAGCACUCCGCCUGGGGAGUACGGCCGCAAGGCUG